RNAcentral lists this microRNA (22 nucleotides) under Aedes aegypti (yellow fever mosquito). RNAcentral describes it as "aae-miR-11897a". Lineage: Eukaryota; Metazoa; Arthropoda; Insecta; Diptera; Culicidae. The record is from miRBase by way of RNAcentral.
UAGUAAACCUUGAUUUUGUAGC